This 31-nucleotide non-coding RNA is filed under the name Mus musculus (house mouse). The record is from RNAcentral. Lineage: Eukaryota; Metazoa; Chordata; Mammalia; Rodentia; Muridae.
AGAUCUCACAAAGCUGAGAGGAGCCCACUGC